UGAACGAAACUGAUAAUAUUGCCAUGAA
RNAcentral lists this small RNA (28 nucleotides) under Bombyx mori (domestic silkworm). RNAcentral describes it as "ovarian small RNA-30746". Lineage: Eukaryota; Metazoa; Arthropoda; Insecta; Lepidoptera; Bombycidae. The record is from RNAcentral.